UGUCCCAAGGCCGGGCCUGCUCGGCUGGCACAGCACGCUUGUCGUUACAGGUCAAGCUCAGGUCAACGACCCGGUAAUCUAACCGAGGACGAGGCAACGAGGGACGAGGCAACGAGGGACCCUACGUGGUUUAGUUCUAGAAAGCUCCCAUGGCUUGGGAACAGGAAAACAAGCAGAAUGACACAUCUUUCAAAGAAAAUGCACAAAUUUACUUUACUGUUUCCAAAUAGUCGCCAUCCUUUCUCGGGGAAGAGAAGCUGCUCUGAGUGUGCUGCGUCUUGCAAUUCCCCUGGGUGCCCGAUGCAGACUGUUCCACGCAGAUUAGUACUCCAGAACUUCUUGAAUGUUUCCUGUGGUAGCAGCAGCCUCUGGGACGGCCCCACGGGAUGCUGCCUCCUGGGAUUCACGCCUUCCUGCAACGCCUCUCAUUAUGUUGGGCUGAACCUAGUGACCUACUGUGAUAAACAGAAUGUGGCAAAGCACAUGGAAUCCUGUGGCUGGUGUAUGAGACGUGACAAGAAGGGCACCUGGCCCGAGUCGUGACCCUGGGGUCCUGAUAUCGAGUCCCACGUCGGGCUCCCUGCAUGGAGCCUGCUUCUCCCUCUGCCUGGGUCUCUCUCUCUCUCUCUCUCUCU
Long non-coding RNA from Canis lupus familiaris (dog), 635 nucleotides. RefSeq lists it as uncharacterized. The transcript is spliced from 3 exons. The record is from RefSeq and is a predicted model, not a curated record. NCBI's taxonomy places the organism in Eukaryota, Metazoa, Chordata, Mammalia, Carnivora, Canidae.